GAUGAACGCUGGCGGCGUGCCUAAUACAUGCAAGUCGAGCGAACGGACGAGAAGCUUGCUUCUCUGAUGUUAGCGGCGGACGGGUGAGUAACACGUGGAUAACCUACCUAUAAGACUGGGAUAACUUCGGGAAACCGGAGCUAAUACCGGAUAAUAUUUUGAACCGCAUGGUUCAAAAGUGAAAGACGGUCUUGCUGUCACUUAUAGAUGGAUCCGCGCUGCAUUAGCUAGUUGGUAAGGUAACGGCUUACCAAGGCAACGAUGCAUAGCCGACCUGAGAGGGUGAUCGGCCACACUGGAACUGAGACACGGUCCAGACUCCUACGGGAGGCAGCAGUAGGGAAUCUUCCGCAGUGGGCGAAAGCCUGACGGAGCAACGCCGCGUGAGUGAUGAAGGUCUUCGGAUCGUAAAACUCUGUUAUUAGGGAAGAACAUAUGUGUAAGUAACUGUGCACAUCUUGACGGUACCUAAUCAGGAAGCCACGGCUAACUACGUG
This 497-nucleotide ribosomal RNA is filed under the name uncultured bacterium. RNAcentral's name for it is "partial 16S ribosomal RNA". It matches the Rfam family "Bacterial small subunit ribosomal RNA", at positions 28 to 507 of the family's 1533-position model. The record is from RNAcentral.